This 460-nucleotide ribosomal RNA is filed under the name uncultured bacterium. Its description in RNAcentral is "partial 16S ribosomal RNA". It matches the Rfam family "Bacterial small subunit ribosomal RNA", at positions 338 to 795 of the family's 1533-position model. The record is from RNAcentral.
CCUACGGGGGGCAGCAGUGAGGAAUAUUGGUCAAUGGACGGAAGUCUGAACCAGCCAUGCCGCGUGCAGGAAGACGGCUCUAUGAGUUGUAAACCGCUUUUGCACAAGGGUAAACCUGAAUACGUGUAUUCAGCUGAAAGUACCGUACGAAUAAGGAUCGGCUAACUCCGUGCCAGCAGCCGCGGUAAUACGGAGGACCCAAGCGUUAACCGGAUUUAUUGGGUUUAAAGGGUGCGUAGGCGGGUUGAUAAGUUAUAGGUGAAAUGUGCGAGCUUAACUCGGGAACUGCCUCUGAUACUGUUGAUCUAGAGAGUAGAUGCGGUAGGCGGAAUGUAUGGUGUAGCGGUGAAAUGCUUAGAGAUCAUACAGAACCCCGAUUGCGAAGGCAGCUUACCAAUCUAUGUCUGACGUUGAGGCACGAAAGCGUGGGGAGCAAACAGGAUUAGAUACCCUGGUAGUC